UAGGGAAUAUUGGACAAUGGGGGCAACCCUGAUCCAGCUAUGCCGCGUGAGUGAAGAAGGCCCUCGGGUUGUAAAGCUCUUUUGUCCGGAAAGAAAAGCAUUCGGUGAAUACCCGGAUGUUCUGACGGUACCGGAAGAAUAAGCACCGGCUAACUUCGUGCCAGCAGCCGCGGUAAUACGAAGGGUGCAAGCGUUACUCGGAAUUACUGGGCGUAAAGCGUUCGUAGGUGGUGGUUUAAGUCUGAUGUGAAAGCCCUGGGCUCAACCUGUGAAUGGCAUUUGGAACUCGUCGGCUUGAGUGACGUAGAGGGUAGUGGAAUUCCCUGUGUAGCAGUGACAUGCGUAGUGAUCGGGAGGAACAUCUGUGGCGAAGGCGACUGCCUGGACCAGCACUGACACUGAGGCA
RNAcentral lists this ribosomal RNA (406 nucleotides) under uncultured bacterium. RNAcentral's name for it is "bacterial SSU rRNA". It matches the Rfam family "Bacterial small subunit ribosomal RNA", at positions 355 to 753 of the family's 1533-position model. The record is from RNAcentral.